CGUGCACGUCUCUGUGGCGGCCAUCCUACGAGAAAGUCUGCUCUGCUCACUGCCGGGUGCCGUGCCAUGAAGUGUUUUACGAUGCCAACCCAGUAAAGCGUGAAGACCCAGGACUCAUUCUCGAAGACGGCGGCUAUCACAUGGUGUCCGUCAAGUUCAGCAUGUCUUCUACCAGCGUCAACGUCCUCAUGUUCAUUGAAAAGCUUCA
Molecule: long non-coding RNA, 208 nt
Organism: Rhipicephalus microplus (southern cattle tick)
Lineage: Eukaryota; Metazoa; Arthropoda; Arachnida; Ixodida; Ixodidae
Source: RefSeq, a predicted model, not a curated record